Molecule: ribosomal RNA, 1463 nt
Filed under: Streptococcus thermophilus
Lineage: Bacteria; Bacillati; Bacillota; Bacilli; Lactobacillales; Streptococcaceae
Description: bacterial SSU rRNA
Rfam family: Bacterial small subunit ribosomal RNA
Source: RNAcentral
UGCAAGUAGAACGCUGAAGAGAGGAGCUUGCUCUUCUUGGAUGAGUUGCGAACGGGUGAGUAACGCGUAGGUAACCUGCCUUGUAGCGGGGGAUAACUAUUGGAAACGAUAGCUAAUACCGCAUAACAAUGGAUGACACAUGUCAUUUAUUUGAAAGGGGCAAUUGCUCCACUACAAGAUGGACCUGCGUUGUAUUAGCUAGUAGGUGAGGUAAUGGCUCACCUAGGCGACGAUACAUAGCCGACCUGAGAGGGUGAUCGGCCACACUGGGACUGAGACACGGCCCAGACUCCUACGGGAGGCAGCAGUAGGGAAUCUUCGGCAAUGGGGGCAACCCUGACCGAGCAACGCCGCGUGAGUGAAGAAGGUUUUCGGAUCGUAAAGCUCUGUUGUAAGUCAAGAACGGGUGUGAGAGUGGAAAGUUCACACUGUGACGGUAGCUUACCAGAAAGGGACGGCUAACUACGUGCCAGCAGCCGCGGUAAUACGUAGGUCCCGAGCGUUGUCCGGAUUUAUUGGGCGUAAAGCGAGCGCAGGCGGUUUGAUAAGUCUGAAGUUAAAGGCUGUGGCUCAACCAUAGUUCGCUUUGGAAACUGUCAAACUUGAGUGCAGAAGGGGAGAGUGGAAUUCCAUGUGUAGCGGUGAAAUGCGUAGAUAUAUGGAGGAACACCGGUGGCGAAAGCGGCUCUCUGGUCUGUAACUGACGCUGAGGCUCGAAAGCGUGGGGAGCGAACAGGAUUAGAUACCCUGGUAGUCCACGCCGUAAACGAUGAGUGCUAGGUGUUGGAUCCUUUCCGGGAUUCAGUGCCGCAGCUAACGCAUUAAGCACUCCGCCUGGGGAGUACGACCGCAAGGUUGAAACUCAAAGGAAUUGACGGGGGCCCGCACAAGCGGUGGAGCAUGUGGUUUAAUUCGAAGCAACGCGAAGAACCUUACCAGGUCUUGACAUCCCGAUGCUAUUUCUAGAGAUAGAAAGUUACUUCGGUACAUCGGUGACAGGUGGUGCAUGGUUGUCGUCAGCUCGUGUCGUGAGAUGUUGGGUUAAGUCCCGCAACGAGCGCAACCCCUAUUGUUAGUUGCCAUCAUUCAGUUGGGCACUCUAGCGAGACUGCCGGUAAUAAACCGGAGGAAGGUGGGGAUGACGUCAAAUCAUCAUGCCCCUUAUGACCUGGGCUACACACGUGCUACAAUGGUUGGUACAACGAGUUGCGAGUCGGUGACGGCGAGCUAAUCUCUUAAAGCCAAUCUCAGUUCGGAUUGUAGGCUGCAACUCGCCUACAUGAAGUCGGAAUCGCUAGUAAUCGCGGAUCAGCACGCCGCGGUGAAUACGUUCCCGGGCCUUGUACACACCGCCCGUCACACCACGAGAGUUUGUAACACCCGAAGUCGGUGAGGUAACCUUUUGGAGCCAGCCGCCUAAGGUGGGACAGAUGAUUGGGGUGAAGUCGUAACAAGGUAACCGA